CCUACGGGAGGCUGCAGUGAGGAAUAUUGGUCAAUGGACGAGAGUCUGAACCAGCCAAGUAGCGUGAAGGAUGACUGCCCUAUGGGUUGUAAACUUCUUUUAUAUGGGAAUAAAAUGUUCCACGUGUGGGAUUUUGUAUGUACCAUAUGAAUAAGGAUCGGCUAACUCCGUGCCAGCAGCCGCGGUAAUACGGAGGAUCCGAGCGUUAUCCGGAUUUAUUGGGUUUAAAGGGAGCGUAGGUGGAUUGUUAAGUCAGUUGUGAAAGUUUGCGGCUCAACCGUAAAAUUGCAGUUGAAACUGGCAGUCGUGAGUACAGUAGAGGUGGGCGGAAUUCGUGGUGUAGCGGUGAAAUGCUUAGAUAUCACGAAGAACUCCGAUGGCGAAGGCAGCUCACUGGACUGAAACUGACACUGAGGCUCGAAAGUGUGGGUAUCAAACAGGAUUAGAUACCCUUGUAGUC
This 460-nucleotide ribosomal RNA is filed under the name uncultured bacterium. RNAcentral describes it as "partial 16S ribosomal RNA". It matches the Rfam family "Bacterial small subunit ribosomal RNA", at positions 338 to 795 of the family's 1533-position model. The record is from RNAcentral.